CCAACACUCCUUUGAAUCAAAGCCUCAUCCAGAGCAAGGUCCUAACUCUCUUAAUUCUGUGAAGACUAAAAGAAGUGUGGAAGCUGCAGAAGAAAAGUUUGAAGGUAGUAGAGGCUGGUUCAUGAAGUUGAAGGAAAGAAGCCAUUUCCAUGACAUAAAAGUGCAAGGUGAAGCAGCAAGUGCUGAUGGAGAAGCUACAAUAAAUUAUCCAGAAGAUCAAGAGAAAAUUAUGGAUGAAGGUGGCUACAUUAAACAUCACAUUUUAAAUGAAGACUAAAUAGCCAAUUAUUGGAUAAUAAUGCUAUUUAAGACUUUCAUAUCUGGAAAGGAGAAGUCAAUAUUUGGCUUCAAAUCUUCAAAGGACAGGCCAACUCUCUUGUGAGGGGCUAAUGCAGUUGGUGACUUUAAGUUGAAGCCAAUGCUUAUUUACCAUUCCAAAAAUUCUAGGGCCCUUAAGAAAUUUGCUACUCUGUCUCUACUCUAUAAAUGGAACAACAAAGCCUGGCUGACAGCACAUCUAUUUACAGCAUGGUUUACUGAAUACAUUUAAGCCUACUGUUGAGAACUCGUGCUCAGAAGAAAAGACGUCUUUUGAACUAUUACUGCACAUUGACAAUGUACAUAGUCAUCUAAGAGCUCUGAAGAAGAUGUAUAAGACUAAUUGUUUUUUUUGUGCCUGCUAACACAACAUCCAUUCUGCAGCCCAUGGAUCAAGGAGAAACUGCCACCACCACUCCAAACUUCAACAACCACUACCCUGAUCAGCAGUCACUAAUAUCAAGAGAGAAAUUUGACUUCAAGAAAGGAAAUUGCCUCCAAGGAAGAACAAAAAGAAACCAGUGCCUCUCCAAAGGCUAUCACGAGGCUAGAUUGCUAACCCUCAUUAGCAAGCAAGAGACCUGGUGAGUUUGAGAUAUUGUGGCUCUUAAUGCAAUAAAUAGUAAAAUUAUGUUAUAUUAUUAUUGAGACAUCAGAAUGUCCAUUUUUUUAAGAACCAGGCUAAAAUAAAGAAGACUAAAUUUUUUGCAAUCAGGUUUAAUCGUACAUUAAAUAUUUGAGUACCUUUAAUAUGCCAGUGCAGACACAAAUGUAAAGAAAAUAUACUUGAACUUUAAGAAUCUUCCAUGAAGGAGUAAGAAAUCUGACUAAGAACACAUAUUGUAUGAAAAUGACUGAUACUAAAAGUGUACACUGCUUGGGUGAUGGGUGCACCAAAAUUUCAGAAGUCACCACUAAAUAAUUUAUUCAUGCAACCAAACAUCACCUGUUCCCUAAAAAUCUAUUGAAAGAAAAUGGAAAAAAGAUAAAAUCACUGGAUACUAGGAAAAAAAUAGAGUCAACCUGAAUUCUGAUGUUUAUUCAUCCAAAUUUAGCCCUAAAUGAGUUACACCUCCCAGUCUUUGAAUCUGAGCUGGCCCUACGUUAUUAACAGACUGUGGCAGAAGUGAUGCUUCAUGACGUCUGAAGCUAAAUCAUAAGUCCUCAGCUUCUGCCUUGGUUUCUUGAAACAUUCACUUGAGGUGAAUCCAACAGCCACAUUAUAAGUAGGACUACCCCAAGAUGGUGAAUAUGUGAGGAAGCCUAAGCUAGCCAUGUGGAGAGGACACAAGAAGAGAGAGCUGUGAUCGACCUCCUCAAUCUGUUAUAACAAUCCCAGCUCAGCCUCCAGACAUGGGUGAGAAGGAGCCACUUUGGAUAUUUCAUGAUGAUAAAGAUAUUGGAUACUGAUUUUCCAUUGUUAGGCUCCACCCUAAGGAAAGCACAGAGUACACUAAUCACGGUGAUAAAGACAUUGGAGAUUGAUUUUUUUAUGUUUAGGUUGCACCCUGAAGCAAAUCAUGGAGGCCUUAAGUAUCAUUGCAAGGGUUAGAUUUGGUUUCAGCUAACAAAGUCUGACAAUGUAAGAGUGAAUAAGACAGCAACUGGGAGGGAGUUGAGAGAAGAAUUGGUAUACAAAUAUACUCAUUCACAAAAGUUCUGUGAUUGAAAGACUUUAUCUGUAGUUGAUGAGGCAAAAAAAAUACAGGUAUGUAAAAAUCUUCAAAGAUAAAUAAUACAGGUAUUAAAGAUAUAAUUAUACUUGGACUUAAAGUGUGUACAUCUGGA
Papio anubis (olive baboon) is the source of this 2106-nucleotide long non-coding RNA. Lineage: Eukaryota; Metazoa; Chordata; Mammalia; Primates; Cercopithecidae. The record is from Ensembl.